AACCCAUGGUGAGGGGAUCUUCUUAAAAGGUCUUUGUAUCUCUCCCAUGUGUCAUAGAGUGUUUCUAAAUCCAUCUGCACAAAAGAAGAGAUAUCAUUACUAAUUUGGCU
Small nucleolar RNA from Gossypium arboreum, 110 nucleotides. It matches the Rfam family "Plant small nucleolar RNA R71". From Rfam's summary of the family: R71 is a member of the C/D box family of snoRNAs containing the C (UGAUGA) and D (CUGA) box motifs. Multiple nearly identical copies of this snoRNA have been identified in Arabidopsis, and it is thought to function as a 2'-O-ribose methylation guide for 18S ribosomal RNA. The record is from Rfam. NCBI's taxonomy places the organism in Eukaryota, Viridiplantae, Streptophyta, Magnoliopsida, Malvales, Malvaceae.